CAUAAUAAGUGCUUUAUGGCACUUUUUAAAUCCAUAUCCACCUUGUGUGCAAUGUCAGUCGAUCUUCUUCAUGGAGAUCGACCAAACAUCAACCUUUAUCUUUUAACUCUUUGUCUGAAAAAUAUUAUGAAUAAACAAUUCAAAAUA
Molecule: unclassified non-coding RNA, 147 nt
Filed under: soil metagenome
Description: partial internal transcribed spacer 1
Source: RNAcentral